UACACUCCUACGGGAGGCAGCAGUGGGGAAUAUUGGACAAUGGGCGCAAGCCUGAUCCAGCCAUGCCGCGUGAGUGAUGAAGGCCCUAGGGUUGUAAAGCUCUUUCACCGGUGAAGAUAAUGACGGUAACCGGAGAAGAAGCCCCGGCUAACUUCGUGCCAGCAGCCGCGGUAAUACGAAGGGGGCUAGCGUUGUUCGGAUUUACUGGGCGUAAAGCGCACGUAGGCGGACUAUUAAGUCAGGGGUGAAAUCCCGGGGCUCAACCCCGGAACUGCCUUUGAUACUGGUAGUCUUGAGUUCGAGAGAGGUGAGUGGAAUUCCGAGUGUAGAGGUGAAAUUCGUAGAUAUUCGGAGGAACACCAGUGGCGAAGGCGGCUCACUGGCUCGAUACUGACGCUGAGGUGCGAAAGCGUGGGGAGCAAACAGGAUUAGAAACCCGGGUAGUCCC
This 448-nucleotide ribosomal RNA is filed under the name uncultured organism. RNAcentral describes it as "partial 16S ribosomal RNA". It matches the Rfam family "Bacterial small subunit ribosomal RNA", at positions 332 to 797 of the family's 1533-position model. The record is from RNAcentral.